Molecule: ribosomal RNA, 333 nt
Filed under: uncultured Bacillota bacterium
Lineage: Bacteria; Bacillati; Bacillota
Description: bacterial SSU rRNA
Rfam family: Bacterial small subunit ribosomal RNA
Source: RNAcentral
GACGAACGCUGGCGGCGUGCCUAAUACAUGCAAGUCGAGCGAACCUUUGGGAGCUUGCUCCCAAAGGUUAGCGGCGGACGGGUGAGUAACACGUGGGCAACCUGCCUAUAAGACUGGGAUAACUUCGGGAAACCGGAGCUAAUACCGGAUAAUUCUUUUCUACACAUGUAGAAAAGCUAAAAGACGGUUUACGCUGUCACUUAUAGAUGGGCCCGCGGCGCAUUAGCUAGUUGGUGAGGUAACGGCUCACCAAGGCCACGAUGCGUAGCCGACCUGAGAGGGUGAUCGGCCACACUGGGACUGAGACACGGCCCAGACUCCUACGGGAGGCAG